Long non-coding RNA from Rhodamnia argentea, 179 nucleotides. RefSeq lists it as uncharacterized. The record is from RefSeq and is a predicted model, not a curated record. Lineage: Eukaryota; Viridiplantae; Streptophyta; Magnoliopsida; Myrtales; Myrtaceae. The transcript is spliced from 3 exons.
CCUUCAAUAAAGAACCUCCGCUAACCAAACAAGGCAUCAAAUUUACCCUAAAAUUUCACUCCAUGUAGAACGCAAAACUUGACUGAGAAGUCCAAACAUCGUCAAACCAACGCAAUCCUCAAGCCACAACCCAAAUUCUCUAAACAUAGUCCAAGACAGGAAACAAGACAGUAACUUUU